CAUUGCUUUUAGUCAACUCAUUAAAAGUCCAUCCUGCCCAGUGAUACUUCAACGGCCGCGGUACCCUGACCGUGCAAAGGUAGCAUAAUCACUUGCCUUUUAAUUGUAGGCUAGAAUGAACGGACAAACGAAAUUCCAACUGUAUCUUUUUAACCCCUAAAAUUUAGACUUCAGGUGAAGAUACCUGAAUUCACUUGAAAGACAAGAAGACCCUAUAGAGUUUUAGUUUAAACCCUCCCCCUCACCUUUAAAACUUUGGUUGGGGCGACCAAGGAUACUCCUAACAUCCUCUCUUAAUACGACUCUAAGUCUACUUAAUGAUCCUAUCCUUUAGACUCCAAAACAAACUACCUUAGGGAUAACAGGCUUAUCUUCCUAAAGAGUUCAAAUUGACAGGAAGGUCUGGCACCUCGAUGUUGGCUUAGGGUAACCCAGUAACGCAAAAGUUACUAUGAGUCGGUUUGUUCAACCGUUAAACCCCUAC
This 484-nucleotide ribosomal RNA is filed under the name Mamiwata williamsae. RNAcentral describes it as "Lepidonotopodium williamsae partial large subunit ribosomal RNA". It matches the Rfam family "Bacterial large subunit ribosomal RNA", at positions 1814 to 2599 of the family's 2925-position model. Lineage: Eukaryota; Metazoa; Annelida; Polychaeta; Phyllodocida; Polynoidae. The record is from RNAcentral.